AGAGUAAGUAUAGUCCCUGUUUCAAAACCAUAAUACAGCGGUCAACGCGAUCAUCUAGAUGAUAUCAUUUCCUCCCCUCAUUAGCAUAAAGAGGUGGGCAUCGGCUAAUUUGAACAAACCUUUUGUUAAGAGUCGAUGUCUGAAUUUCAACAGUGAUCAGAGAAGGAACAUUAACUAUGUACGACUACGAGGACGAGGAUGAGAACAUGGAACACUAUGGGCAGCCUACUCCUCCUGUGUACAACAUGACAACCAUUCCAAAUGACCUUCCUCUCUUCCUCAGCUAUGGUGGGCAGGAUGCACUUUCUGAUGUUAAUGAUGUGCAACUCCUUCUGGAAAGCCUCAAAGAUCAUGAUGGAGAUAAGCUUGUGGUGCAGUACAGAGAGGACUAUGCACAUGCAGAUUAUGUUAUGGCUUCCAAUGCUAAGCGAGCUGUGUAUGAUCCUCUCAUCGCUUUCUUCAAGCUUCAAUAAACUGGGAAAAAGUUUGUCAACUAUAGUCUGAUUUUGUUAUACAUUUUACUUGGUGUGAAAAAUUGUAUUCCUACUGCCAUAGUAGCUUUUAUGCUAAUACAGCUAAAUUUUUUGAGUUAUUUGGUUGUUUAGAUUGGUUCUUUCGUAAUCGAAACCGAGAAAUUAACUUAAAAAACCUUAUAAUUAACAACAUAUAGAUAACAUCAAGCUUCAUUUUCUCUAUAUUGAAUAUAAAUGUUAGCAAGAAAUGCGUUAGCAGUUAGCACACAUUCAUCUGUUUCUAGUUCAUUUUUACCAAGCUCACAUUGGAAAAAAUGUAAUGGAAAGGAAAAAAGAAAAGCUAAUGCUAUGCUUGGCUUUGGAAAAAAGCUAGGAAAAAUGGAAAAUGUUAUAAUUUUCCACCAAUAGAAUUAUAAUUUUCUUUUAUCCUUUUUUCUUCUAUUUUUUAUUUUAUUUCUCUCAAACUUUUUUUUUUUAAAAAGAUAUAAGAAAAGGAUAGAAGUUUAGCUUCAUAUUACUUAGAAAACUAUGAUAAAAGUUAAAAAAAGUGGUUGCUCAUGAAUUUAAUUUGAGUGUGUUUAGUAACUGUUUUCGAAAACUGCUAUUAAAAACCAUUCUCUAAUAUUUUGUACAAAUAAAAUUUAUUUAGAAGCUUAAAAUGUUUUUAACCCGUUUUUAAUAAUUUUAAAAAUAUUUUUUAUGUUUAGUGUUUUAAUUUUAUUUCUUCUCCAUCUUUCUAUAAUUAUUUCCUAAAAUAGUCAAUAAAAAACAAGUGAAAAUAAUAUAAUACAACUAAAAUGAUGUUUCCUAAAACCACCUUAAUUUUAGAAAUCAGAAAAUAACUGUUAGUUCUCAAACGUACUUUUGGGGUUUUUUUUGUUCUAAAGAACAAAAAAUUGUCCUAAAAAAAGUCCCAAAACCAACCAUUUAUUUCUCAACUUUUACAUAAAUAAUAAAAUAGGGAAAAGUUUUGUAAAUUUUCAUUUUUUCUAUGACAUAAUAUUUUGAUUACACAACGUUAAUUGAAAAUCCAUUUCCCAAUUAAGAUUAUGGAUGAAUAUUAAUCAUCUAAUCAAUUCUGUAAAAUGCCAGUACAGCGUUUUAAAUACGUCUGUGGGAUGAAUCAAACGGCGCCGUUUAAGCGCAGUAAUGAGUCGAUGACUAUACUAUAAAAUAAGGGUGCGUUUGGGAGAAGGUAGGCUUCCCACGGUUUUAGUAUCUCUGCUGCUCGUCCCCUGAAACUAAAGUCAACAAGAGGGAAGAAGCAGAAGCAGAAGAAGAAGAAGAAGGUGAAUCAGUGAUGGCAACAGGAUCAAUGAUGGCAAAACGCUACCCCUGGCACCAAGUUGCUGCUGUCUCUGGUAAACCCACAAUUUAUCUUUCCUUCUCUGUCUGUAUUCAUAUGCAUGAAUGAAUCUGAAGAAGAGCAUUUGUGAAAAUCAUUCAAACAGGAGCUGUAGGUAUUGGGUUGGGAGCCUUUGGUACCCAUGUCUUCAAGCCCCAAAACCCUAUUUACAAAGAGGUAUGCUUUUAUCCUUUUAAUUUUUAACUGUAAUCCCUGUGUUUGGCUGCUCAGAAAACGGAGGAAAGGAGGCUAAAUUUUGAGCCUUACCCAUCUCAAUUAGGCUCAUUUUAUGUCAGUAUGUUAAUGGAAAAUUUAUAAUUCAAAACUCUGGUUCAUCUCUUUUUCCUCUGUGACCAAACGAAGGCCAUAUCAUUUCAAUCCAUUGAAGUUAGUAUACAUAUUUUAUAUUAAUUUGAUGAUCCCUUUUUGUGAAUAAAAUGAAGGUUUGGCAAACGGCAUCCUUAUACCAUUUGGUUCAUACGGCAGCUCUGCUUGCUACCCCUGUUACCAAGCAUCCCAAUAUUGUGAGUUCCCCCUGUCAAUUUAUUCCCAAAUUCCCUUUAGUUUCAAGUUUAUAUUUUGUGAAUUCUGUGAUGGGUGUGGAUCAUAAUUUAUCAAUUAUUAAGAGUUCUUUUUCAUGUAUCUUGUUGUAGUUUGGAGGUCUUGUGACAGCUGGAAUUCUUGCAUUUUCAGGAACGUAAGCACGGUUUUCUCUUCUUAGAUAUGCAUGAUGUUAAUUCAAUUGUACUGCAUCCAUUGAAAAGAAUUUGAGAUUUUAAAGUCCAGUCACAAAACUGGGUGGUAGAAAAUGCUUGUUCUGAUAUCUGCCGAGUUUGCUAGUCAAAUGAAGCUGAAAAUCAUGAUGAGAAAGAUUUUAUGCAUUCUGCAAUUGGUUUAAGGGUCACAAACAGUGGAGGUAGAAACCGAGGGAUGAUUUAAAUCGUAAAAGUGGCACAUUAACUUGGUAAUUGAGAUGAGAAUGCUUAACAUCUCUUCUGGGACUGACCAAUCUGUUUGUACCCUUUAUGAGCCUUCAUAGGUAAACAAACUUCAACUGAAUUGAUGUUUUGUUUUCACUCUUGUAUAAACCAGCAUGAAAUUUCAGACUGAUUCACCUCUGUAGUGAGCAGAGUUUGAUCUGGAGUAAACAUGUAGGUCUUUGUGACAGAAUGAUGAUACCAUGGUUUAACCAUCCAAUCAGAGACUUCUGUCAAUUGAAAAUUUUGAAGUUCAUCACUCUUUUAAUGUGGAAUGGUUUAUCUGCAUUCUGCAAUGAAAUUUGCAUCAUAGGUACUGGUUAAUUCAAUAUUCAAUUAAAUUCUUGGUAAUGAUAUUGAAGAUCAGAGCACUAACUUUGUUGUCUGUCCUGCUAAAUGUGUUUGGGGUUUCACAAGAGGGAGAGGUAAAAUGUUCCUUCCAACCAAGGAGAGGGGGUUUUGUACAAUGGAUGAUUGCAAUGAAAGCCAUCAAUGAAAUAAGAUGUCAUGCUGUCCUGGAAAAUUCACCAAUAUUUUAUGAAAACUAUGGUGUCUUUCUCUGUGUGGCCAAGGUAACCACUCAAGUAGACCCACAGGAAUUGGUUGUGACUUACCAGCCUAGGCGAAUAGUUGUUAUAAUCAUACUGGAUUGAGUCGAGUAGCAGGUUGGUUAGAUUUAUUUUCAAGCUCGCUUUGGCUUGGUCAGACCUGAUAUUGGAAAUAUACAUAGGGCUGACAUAUGAAAUUCUUGUGUAAAUUGUUGUUCUUGUUUACUUCUAUGGUUAAAAGAGAUACUUGGAUGCAGCAACAGACCCAACCUUUUCUUUGAUUACAAUUUCACUGACUGUUGGAGCUAAGCUGUUGUUGGGGAAUGUUUCAUGGAAAUAUCUGCUUUCUAGAAACAAUUUCCUCUUAUCCAAUGAAAUAUAUGUGAAUAAAAUUGAAUCUUGAUGGAAACACUAGGACUUUGCAGGUGUUAUACUGCAGCAUAUUUUGAAGACAGAAAGUACAGUUUCUUGGCACCAUUCGGCGGCCUUGCGUUUAUUGCCGCUUGGGGGAGCUUGCUUUUCUAAGGAUUUCAACUUCCUCAUACAGUGGUACAAAUUCUGGUUUCUGGGUUUGUGAAUUCAAUAAGGCAACUAUGGUGGGAUCUUGGGGAAUUGUACCAAGAAUGCUUUUAUUUUUCGGAUUUGAGAUUUGAACAGUUUCUGGAAUUUCUUGUCAUGCAUCUCUUGUAAGAGUGUUCUUGUCAUUACAAGCCACUUCUCCUGUUUGUAUACAAUAAUCUUCUCAAAGAUGUAGAUGGAAUAUUUCAAAAUCUAAGUUUAUACUAUACUUUUGUGAAGUUCUCCAUUGUCUUCUGAUGCAUUUGGAAAGAAUGUAGGAUGAGUAAUCUUAUAGGGCUGAUGGGCUAAGCAAAAUGAUCUUACUUCUAUUGCUAGUAUCAUAUCCAUAAAAUCUUUGAUAAGGCUUCUGAGCUUGAAAAUUUUGUACUGAAGUAUGAAAAUGCUUUCUCAGCUAACAUCAUUUAUCCACUCACCUAUUCAAAAAAUUUUAGAAUAAUAUAUGAAAAUAAUAUAAGUAAAAUGAUGUAAUAAUUUUAAAAUUAUAAAAGAUUUUUAUAUAAUAAAAUCAAAUAAUAAACUUUUUCUUUCAUUUUCAAUAUAUAUUUUCACAUGAAUAUCGUAUGUAUUUUAUUUUAUAAAAAAAUAAAAUAUUAAUAUAUUUAUAUUUAUCCAUAAUUCAAUUUGAUGAUAUAAAAUAAAAUAAAAAUGAAUAUUAUUUUGUUUUUUCUCUUUGAUAUUAUCAAAUUAAAUACAUAAUGGGUUUGAUUUCAAUUAGGGUUCAAUCACGAUCCAAACAUCAAAUCAAAUUGACAACUUUUCCAAUUCAACGAUGGAUCGAUUCUAAAAACAUUUAUAAAUACUGAUAUAUAAUUCUUACCAAACAAUAUUUUGUUUCUUUUACACACUUUUGUGAGAUGAGGUGUACUUCAAUGUUGUCUAAUUUUGAAGGUUGAGCAAGGAGGGUUCAUUUAAGGUUUAAAGGUUGGGGGUAGAAGGGGAGAAGGUUGUCAAAUCUCCCACCUCCUAUUUGUGAAUGAUACUCUUCUUUUUUGUGAGAUAAACUUAAUCAACUAAGAUGUUGGAGGUGAAUUGUAAUCAGCUUUGAGGUUGCGUCUGGUCAGAAGGUUAUCUGUAAAAAAAGUGAGUUCAUUCCAAUGGGGAAAGUGAAGGAAGUUUCUUUGCUGGAUUAUAAGGGGGCUUCCAACUACUUAUCUUGGUCCGCCCUGGGGAGUGCCUCAUAAGUCUUGUAUUAUGUGGGAUGUUCUCGAGGAAAGAUUUGGUAGGAGAAUGGCCUUUGGGAAGAAGUGGUAUUUUUCAAAGGGAGGUAGUUUGGUUCCUAUAAAAAGUACUUUCUUCAGCAUGCUAAUUUAUUUUAUGUCCCUUUUUACUAUCCAAGAAAGUGAGAAUUAGAUUGGAAAAGGUGUAAAGAGAUUUUUCAUGGGAAAUCUUUAAGAAGGCAGUAAAGUGCACCUAGAGAGCUGGUCUAAGGUUUAUAAGGAUAAAAAAUUUCAAAGGUUUGGGUAUUAGAAGAUCAAAGGUUCUUAAUGGACCCUAACUUGGCAAAUGGUUGUGAAGGUUUGCCCUUGAGAGGGAGAGUUGGUGGUGGAAGAUUAUUCAAGGGAAAUUUGGGGAAAUGGUUGGAGGUGGAAUAUUUGCAAGAAAGGGAAGUUCAAGUGUGUGGAAAGGCAUUAGUAUAGCUAUUUGUGUUAAUGAUGGUAGGCGGACAAAAUUUUGACGGAAAGUUGAGUGGGGGAGAGUUGUGUGAAAGUAUCAUCUCCUUUGUUGUGCAGUUUAGCCUUUCAUAGGAAUGCUAUAGCUGUAGACUUGUGGGAUAGGGGUAGAGGAGAUCAAUAUUAGUGUAAUUAAGAACACCUUUCCAUGAUUGAGAGUUGGAGUGGGUAUCCUAUUUUUUUUUAGAGCUUAUUUAUACAACAAAAAUGCAACAAUUAGGAGAAGAUAUCUUGGUUUGGAAGUAGGAUAGGAAAGGAAACUUCAACGUCAAAUCGUACUACAGUUCUUUGUGUGUUGAUACUAGAGUGGAGUCCCAACUAAGGAAAUUUGGGGCACUCCUUUGUGAUCUCACUUUUUUUCUUAGGAAGCAGUAUGAGAGAAGAUUUUAAUUACAAACAUGUUAACGAAGAGGGGGUAAUCGAUGGUUAGUUAAUAGAUGCAGUCUAUGUAAAAAGAGCGAAGAGUCUGUUGAUUUAUUGUACAACGACAAAGUUGUUAUGGAUGUUCUUCUUAGCAAGCUUUGGGAUGAAAUGGGUGUUUCCAGAGACUAUGAGAAAUUUGCUCCUCAAAUGGAAGGAAGGUUAAGGGAAUGGAUAAGAAGAGACACCAUGUUCGGUGAAUGGCUCCCUUGUGUUUGUUCUAGUGUAUAUGGCAAGAUGUUAUUGUUGAAUCUUUAAGGGUGAAGAGCUCUCAGAUCAAAGGUUAAAGGAGAACUUCACUAGAACCCUCUUAUAGUGGGUUCAAAUACUUCAUUAGAUUUGGGAAACUUCUCAGUGUUUGACAUUUUGGGUAGACUUAGCUGCAGGUAGAUUAGGUUUUGUGGCUGUUUUUUUGCAGAUACUUGUCAGUAUUCUUUGAUUGGUUUUUUUGUGUACACUACAUAUAUACAUAUGGUGCACCCCAUUUUUUUUGGGUUAAAGAAAUUCAUUGAAUGUUGCUUAUGGUAUAAAAGAGCCACUGCUGGUCAAAAUGAAAUUAUUUUAACAAUUCCGAAAGUGGGGUGCUUUCAGAAAUAAAAUCCAUUCUCUUUCAGAGCUUUGGGCUGGUGCACUCCACCAUUCCACCAAACCACCUAAUGCAUGUAACUCUUCCGAUAUUCUCUUCUGUUUACUGUUUCAUUUUCUAAUAGGGAUUUGGCCCAGAAAAGGCAAACUUUGGAAAUGUAAACCACUUCUAAUGAGAACACCAGAAGUAGCUUCCUCGCAAGCUCCAGAAAAGUUUUAACCGGGUCUAUACUGUGGUAAAGUCUUGCACCAAUAGGACCCCGAAACAUUUAUUUGAGCAUUCAUAAGGAUUGAAAAUUGAAAUAAUUUAUCCUUUAAAUCAGGAUGUGGUUGAGAGAAGUUCACUCAUAUAUGCUUUGUAUGAUUAUCAUCAUGUGAUUAAUGCUGCACAUCCUGCUGAUGUCUUGAUAUUUUCUACUAGAUACAGAUAAGCAUCUGUCCACCAAAUAGUGUAAUGACAUGUAAAAAGAAAGUGGUAUAGAUGACAGGUGGGACACCUAGAUAGGCAUGUUUACAUCUUUUUUAGGUUCAGUCUGUAAAUUUCUAAUGCAAUUAACAGAAUGAAAUGUGGGAAAGCAACAAAAAACUUAUAGCAUUUUCCUUUUUCUUGACCUUGCUUCUUGGUUGUUUUACUGUUCAACUCCUUACUCCUAAUUGCAAAAACUGAUUUUUCCUAUUAAAAUCGUUAUUUUUAUCUUUUCACUCUCUUUAUCUUUUUGCUGGAUUGCAGAUAUGGGUUGGGCUGGCGAGGUGGAAGAUGGUAUGCAAAUAGGAAGUUCAGAAGGGAGCAAAUGAAAUUGCUAGGGCAGAUAAAACCCAAAAGGACGCCACUCCAGUUCCUUAGAAGACUAAGAAGACAGAGGGCGCCAGAGACUGCACCCAAAACCUCUCCAACCUUGCAAAAGGAUGCUCCCUCCAAGAUUCUUUACAAACCCGCCAACAGCAGUUGCUGUAGUUACUUAUUAAGCAUAUCAGAUGAAAAAUGCUAUCAUAUAGUUUCAUACUCAUUCAAGACUGUUUCUGUACAAAGCAUAAAAUGGAUUAGUUUAUUCCUCCCUCCCCCAAGCUCUCUAUCAUUCUUCUUUUUUUUCGGGGACAAUUUUUUUGGUUCCUUGUUCCUUGUUGCCAGUCUGGGGAUGAGUGCAAUAUAAUAAUCUUUUGUUUCCUAACAGUGGAAAAUUAGUUCAAAUUGCUUGCCAGGCUCAUGUUCAAAGUAUUCUAUAUAUGUUGAGAAGGUUUGCUUUCUAAUUACAGCUUUAGGAAGAUUUCCAGGUUAUGGUACACAUUUUCUUUACAGGAAGCCUUUUGAAACCACAAUGCCCCAUAAAAGAUGAUCGUCCACAUUAAUCUUCAUUUCUGGUGUGCUUGAUUUACAUUCUUAUUACCAUCUGGCAUAAGUUUUGUUUGAAGGGGCCAUGAAAUAUUUAGGGUUGGUGAUUGAGUACUGGAAUAGCACGAUUAAUAUGAUACGGGUCAAUGCAAAGCUUGUUAAAACUCAAUGAGUGCUGUGAAUAGAAAGAAAACUGUUACAUAGACCACAAAAUUCUGUGACAAGAUUGCAUUUCUCUUUGCUUUGUUGUUAGUUAGACGAGGCCAAAUAUCAUACAGACCAGGCAUUAGAAGUCUGAAAAUGGGAUAUGGGUCUUAGUUUUUUACGCAUUUGUUGGCAGAUAGUGGGUUUGAUGUGUGGAUUGCAAACACUCGUGGAACCAAGUAUAGCCGUGGGCAUACUUCGUUGGAUCCUGGGGACUCGGUUAUCAUUCUUUCUUACAUGUUGGGUUCUCUUUUAUUGCCCAAUUUGUGAUCCACUGAUUAUCUCAAUGUUGUUUUUUAGGCUUUUUGGGAUUGGUCAUGGGAUGAGUUGGUAUCAUAUGACCUUCCUGCUAGCUUCCAGUAUGUACAUGACCAAACAGGACAGAAACUGCACUAUGUUGGGCAUUCCCUGGUGAAUAUCUUUAAAUUACUCUUGUACUAGUUCCAGGAUUUUUUUCCUGAAGUCUAAAGGGGAUACUGAGUUUGGAAAUUCUUUGCAGGGUACUCUGAUUGCUUUGGCUGCCUUUUCCCAGAAUCAGCUGUCUUGCUUAGCCCAAUUGCUUAUGUGGGUCAAAUGACAUCCCCACUAGCAAGAAAUGCUGCUGAUAAUUUUAUAGCUGAAGUAAAGACUUAUUCUCUUUCAUUUAUGUUUGAUUUCCAGCAAAAUAAAAUUCUCUGACCAUACACUUUAUCUUUCUUGACAGUCCUUGUACUGGUUGGGUCUCGAAGGUGAGAAAACAGCUCUUUUUCUUUACUCUUCCUAUAAUUCUGAUGCUUCAAGCAAAACAAUUUUAUUUCUGUUGCUAGUACCAUAGACAUAUUGGGUCUUGAUGGAUUGGAUCUGUGGAAGUGAAAAAGACAUCUUUUUUUCCUUGCCCCGUCCUAUAGUGGUGAUGGACCAGGCAAAAUAAACUUAUUUCUAUUGCUAGUAUCAUAUCCAUAAAAUCUUUGAUAGGACUUCUGGGCUUGAAAAUUUUAGACUAAAGUAUGAAAACACUUUCAAAAUUUUGUCGCUAAAAAGUUCCUAACCAUCACACAAGGACUUGAAUCACUGAUAUAAAGAGAAUUUUAGAAGCUGUGAUAACACAUACAUUUGCUUUGCUUGGUUCUCUCUGAUUAGUAUAAUGGAAGUUUCGAUACACCUGGUGUAUCGCCAAAAUUGACUAGAUGAUUCAUUUUGGGAAAAUGAAUUAUCCUGGUUUGCUCUAUGACUGAUUUCUUAAUUUUCCCCCAUCACCACCCAAGUGAACAGGGAUGCUGUAGUUAAUCUUCUAAAAGCCAUCUGCAAGAAACCCGGUGUUGACUGCACUGACUUGUUGACUUCUUUUACAGGUAAUAUCCAUGUUCUUGAUUUUCUAAUCAGCACUAUGUCUUUUGAAAAGGUCAUCUUCCAUAAUGACUUACAUUGUGUUGUAUCUGCGGGCCAAAACUGCUGCCUCAACUCUUCCAGUGUAGAUGUUUUUCUAGAGCAUGAGCCUCAAUCAACAGCAACAAAGAACACAAUCCAUCUAUCUCAGAGUAAGUAUAGUCCCUGUUUCAAAACCAUAAUACAGUGGUCAACGCGAUCAUCUAGAUGAUAUCAUUUCCUCCCCUCAUUAGCAUAAAGAGGUGGGCAUCGGUUAAUUUGAACAAACCUUUUGUUAAGAGUCGAUGUCUGAAUUUCAACAGUGAUCAGAGAAGGAACAUUAGCUAUGUACGACUACAAGGACGAGGAUGAGAACAUGGAAC
RNAcentral lists this long non-coding RNA (9858 nucleotides) under Vitis vinifera (wine grape). RNAcentral describes it as "long non-coding RNA (VVIN_LNC003729)". The record is from RNAcentral. Lineage: Eukaryota; Viridiplantae; Streptophyta; Magnoliopsida; Vitales; Vitaceae.